This 631-nucleotide ribosomal RNA is filed under the name Collybia mongolica. RNAcentral describes it as "eukaryotic LSU rRNA". It matches the Rfam family "Eukaryotic large subunit ribosomal RNA", at positions 49 to 660 of the family's 3401-position model. Lineage: Eukaryota; Fungi; Basidiomycota; Agaricomycetes; Agaricales; Clitocybaceae. The record is from RNAcentral.
AUUGUUAGUCAAGAAACUAACAAGGUAUUCCCCUAGUAACUGCGAGUGAAGCGGGAAAAGCUCAAAUUUAAAAUCUGGCGGUCUUUGGCUGUCCGAGUUGUAAUCUAGAGAAGUGCUAUCCGCGCUGGACCGUGUACAAGUCUCCUGGAACGGAGCGUCAUAGAGGGUGAGAAUCCCGUCUUUGACACGGACUACCAGGGCUUUGUGAUGUGCUCUCAAAGAGUCGAGUUGUUUGGGAAUGCAGCUCUAAAUGGGUGGUAAAUUCCAUCUAAAGCUAAAUAUUGGCGAGAGACCGAUAGCGAACAAGUACCGUGAGGGAAAGAUGAAAAGAACUUUGGAAAGAGAGUUAAACAGUACGUGAAAUUGUUGAAAGGGAAACGCUUGAAGUCAGUCGCGUUGGCUGGGGAUCAACCUUGCUCUUUUGCUUGGUGUACUUUCCAGUUGACGGGUCAGCAUCAAUUUUGACCGGUGGAUAAAGGUCAGGGGAAUGUGGCAUCCUCGGAUGUGUUAUAGCCCUUGGUUGCAUACAUCGGUUGGGAUUGAGGAACUCAGCACGCCGCAAGGCCGGGUCUUUGACCACGUACGUGCUUAGGAUGCUGGCAUAAUGGCUUUAAUCGACCCGUCUUGAAGG